GAGUUUGAUCCUGGCUCAGAGUGAACGCUGGCGGUAGGCCUAACACAUGCAAGUCGAACGGCAGCACAGAGGAGCUUGCUCCUUGGGUGGCGAGUGGCGGACGGGUGAGGAAUACAUCGGAAUCUACUCUGUCGUGGGGGAUAACGUAGGGAAACUUACGCUAAUACCGCAUACGACCUACGGGUGAAAGCAGGGGAUCUUCGGACCUUGCGCGAUUGAAUGAGCCGAUGUCGGAUUAGCUAGUUGGCGGGGUAAAGGCCCACCAAGGCGACGAUCCGUAGCUGGUCUGAGAGGAUGAUCAGCCACACUGGAACUGAGACACGGUCCAGACUCCUACGGGAGGCAGCAGUGGGGAAUAUUGGACAAUGGGCGCAAGCCUGAUCCAGCCAUACCGCGUGGGUGAAGAAGGCCUCGGUUGUAAG
This 422-nucleotide ribosomal RNA is filed under the name uncultured microorganism. Its description in RNAcentral is "bacterial SSU rRNA". It matches the Rfam family "Bacterial small subunit ribosomal RNA", at positions 9 to 429 of the family's 1533-position model. The record is from RNAcentral.